This 215-nucleotide unclassified non-coding RNA is filed under the name Hevea brasiliensis (rubber tree). Lineage: Eukaryota; Viridiplantae; Streptophyta; Magnoliopsida; Malpighiales; Euphorbiaceae. The record is from RNAcentral.
AGAGAAUAAUUUCAAUCCUUUUCAAAGUAGGAUUAGGCCAUGGGCCUUUGGCUGGAACUUGGGCAAUAGCCCAACAUGGAAAUGGAACCCAAAUGGGCUCAGAGGGAGUUUCACAUACACAACAUAAAAUGACUAUAUUAGCCGAAGAAUAUAAGUGAAAUAAGACAAUAAAUAAACAAAAAUAAAAAGGUAGAAACACAAAUAAAGAAGUAAAA